RNAcentral lists this ribosomal RNA (433 nucleotides) under uncultured bacterium. RNAcentral's name for it is "partial 16S ribosomal RNA". It matches the Rfam family "Bacterial small subunit ribosomal RNA", at positions 29 to 507 of the family's 1533-position model. The record is from RNAcentral.
AACGAACGCUGGCGGCAUGCCUAACACAUGCAAGUCGAACGAAGGCUUCGGCCUUAGAGGCGCACGGGUGCGUAACGCGUGGGAAUCUGCCCUUUGGUUCGGAAUAACAGCUGGAAACGGCUGCUAAUACCGGAUGAUGACGAAAGUCCAAAGAUUUAUCGCCAGAGGAUGAGCCCGCGUUGGAUUAGGUAGUUGGUGGGGUAAAGGCCUACCAAGCCGACGAUCCAUAGCUGGUCUGAGAGGAUGAUCAGCCACACUGGGACUGAGACACGGCCCAGACUCCUACGGGAGGCAGCAGUGGGGAAUAUUGGACAAUGGGCGCAAGCCUGAUCCAGCAAUGCCGCGUGAGUGAUGAAGGCCCUAGGGUUGUAAAGCUCUUUUACCCGGGAAGAUAAUGACUGUACCGGGAGAAUAAGCCCCGGCUAACUCCGUG